RNAcentral lists this ribosomal RNA (638 nucleotides) under Weissella paramesenteroides. RNAcentral describes it as "bacterial SSU rRNA". It matches the Rfam family "Bacterial small subunit ribosomal RNA", at positions 133 to 758 of the family's 1533-position model. The record is from RNAcentral. Lineage: Bacteria; Bacillati; Bacillota; Bacilli; Lactobacillales; Lactobacillaceae.
UUAGCAGGGGAUAACAUUUGGAAACAAGUGCUAAUACCGUAUAAUACCAACAACCGCAUGGUUGUUGGUUGAAAGAUGGUUCUGCUAUCACUAAGAGAUGGACCCGCGGUGCAUUAGCUAGUUGGUAAGGUAACGGCUUACCAAGGCAAUGAUGCAUAGCCGAGUUGAGAGACUGAUCGGCCACAAUGGGACUGAGACACGGCCCAUACUCCUACGGGAGGCAGCAGUAGGGAAUCUUCCACAAUGGGCGCAAGCCUGAUGGAGCAACGCCGCGUGUGUGAUGAAGGGUUUCGGCUCGUAAAACACUGUUAUAAGAGAAGAACGGCACUGAGAGUAACUGUUCAGUGUGUGACGGUAUCUUACCAGAAAGGAACGGCUAAAUACGUGCCAGCAGCCGCGGUAAUACGUAUGUUCCAAGCGUUAUCCGGAUUUAUUGGGCGUAAAGCGAGCGCAGACGGUUAUUUAAGUCUGAAGUGAAAGCCCUCAGCUCAACUGAGGAAUGGCUUUGGAAACUGGAUGACUUGAGUGCAGUAGAGGAAAGUGGAACUCCAUGUGUAGCGGUGAAAUGCGUAGAUAUAUGGAAGAACACCAGUGGCGAAGGCGGCUUUCUGGACUGUAACUGACGUUGAGGCUCGAAA